This 460-nucleotide ribosomal RNA is filed under the name uncultured bacterium. RNAcentral's name for it is "partial 16S ribosomal RNA". It matches the Rfam family "Bacterial small subunit ribosomal RNA", at positions 338 to 795 of the family's 1533-position model. The record is from RNAcentral.
CCUACGGGAGGCAGCAGUGAGGAAUAUUGGUCAAUGGGCGGAAGCCUGACCCAGCCAAGUAGCGUGCAGGAUGACGGCCCUACGGGUUGUCCACUGCUUUUAUACGGGAAUAACGCGCCUUACGUGUAGGGCUUUGCAUGUACCGUAUGAAUAAGGACCGGCUAAUUCCGUGCCAGCAGCCGCGGUAAUACGGCGGGGCCGGGCGGUAUACGGAUUUGUUGGGGUGAAAGGGAGCGUAGGCUGGAUGUCAAGCGUGCUGUGAAAUGUCCGGGCUCAACCCGGGCAUUGCAGCGCGAACGGGCGGGCUUGAGGCCGCGAAAGGCAGGCGGAAUUCGUCGUGUAGCGAUGAAAUGCUUAGAUAUGACGAAGAACCCCAAUUGCGAAGGCAGCUUGCUGCAGCGGAACUGACGCUGAGGCUCGAAAGCGCGGGUAUCGAACAGGAUUAGAUACCCCAGUAGUC